Molecule: long non-coding RNA, 4513 nt
Filed under: Homo sapiens (human)
Lineage: Eukaryota; Metazoa; Chordata; Mammalia; Primates; Hominidae
Description: non-protein coding SRRM2-AS1:12
Source: RNAcentral
GUCGAGCGCGCGUGCGCGCGGAGGAGCUCGGCGGCCUGGGCAGUUCUCCGCGCGCUUUGGCCUCGCGCCGGGGCCGCCGCCCCUCCCCCACCCGGCUCGCUGGCUCCCUCACCCUCUCACCCGCCGCCUCCGCCCGCCGCCUCCGAGGGGGAGAGGUCUUGCCGCCGCCGCUGCUCGAGCUCCCGAGUCCCUCGGGCCUGGGGCCGCCGCCUCGCCUCGCCGGUCCGCCCGCCUCAGCCGACGCCGACGCCUCCUCGCUUCCUCAGGGGCCGCAACGGGCUCCAACUGCGCCACUCGCACCCCGCCUGGGCCGCGCUGCACGUCAGCACGACUAACUGCGUGCGUCAGCACGCAAACGCGCGUCGCGGGGCCUGCCGGGAACUGGAGUGCGCCCCGCGGCCUUUUGCGCAGGCGCCGAAGCCACACCGCGAAGUACCGUUUUUUCAGGCACAAGGAAGGUUUCACCCCGUUGCCGAAAGACUAAGCGUCCCGUUGGCCAGUGCAACGAAGAACGGAGGAAGCGACGUAAGACACCGCGUAUUCGUAGGCCUUCCGCUGCGGGGAGGAGCACAGGGCCUAGCGGCAGCAAAGCGACGCCCGAGCGCGUCUCGUCUCCCGCUGUCGAUGCAGAGCAUUCUGGGAGUUGUGGUUCGGGCGUGUCGCGGAGCCCGGAUGUAAUUUCGGCUCGGGGCGUGGCGGCCAUUUUGUCUCCCCAUGUUGGGAGACGAUAUCCCAGCCGCGGUGGUGCUGCCGCUUUCGUGUGACUUUGGGUUUCCCGAGCGAGCCCGCAGCUGCACAGCAGUCCGCCUUCCCGUACCCGAGAGAAGCCGCCUCAGACCCCAGCCAGCGGGCACCCCCGGAGGCCCCGAGCCUGGCUGCAGGCCCUAGACCUGCACCAGGGGCCCAACCAGUUACCCGUAGCAUGGGCCACGUUCUCCCGCUGUAGACCGGGCUGAGGCCCGACGGCCACCCCUGGGGGAGGAGUUUUCUUAGCUUCCGGUAGGGCAGCCAGGCCGGGGUCCCACCAGACCCAGGACGUGAUACCGGUGAAGCGGCACAUACAGGAACAAGGCAGGAGGAAAAUAAUAAGCACCUUAAAGUUUCCACUUUUCGAAGAUUUCAGUUUGUAAGUAGUGAGAGCAAUGAUCUUGGCUUUGCAUGGUGCUCAGGAAGCCUUCCCCGCUCCCAAACCAGAAAGGAAUCCAUCCAGAUUUUCCUCCACUGUCUGGAUGGCCGCUCUGUGGAUGCUUCCAUCUGUAUCCAUUGCCGGCACCUGGUGAGGUCCAAGUCUCACCUCCUCCAGAAGGCCUCCCAGGACUGCUGGCCCCAGACACAGAACUCCCAAGGGAAGGCUCUUCCACUAAAAGUCCAGCUGCAGCGAUAAUGAUGAGUUUGGAGAGGGCUGCAGACCCUGAGGCAGGGGUUGGUGCAGGGGCUGGACCUGAAACUGGGUUCACACAACAAGCUCGGACUCCUCUUAACACUCCUGAUUGGUGACAUUAUGGGGUCUUGGAUGCCUCCUCCUCUCUGUCCCUCGUACUGCCCCUGCCACCUGGGACUCCACCAAGUUCCUUCUCCACCAGCCAUGAGGAGAGCCUGCCCAGGGGCCAGCACUCUCUCCCUGAGCCUUAGAACCAGGAGGAUUCUCACUGCUUCUAUGUCACAGUAGGUAAAAAACACAUAAAAUAAAAUGAAAUAUCAUGAUCACCUGAGAAGAAAGUUCAGAGUAGGCCCGUAUCACGUGUUUCCAGAGAAUCCACAGCUUCCCUAUGAAGCCAUUGCUGGCAUAGGGAAGGGUGGGGCCAGGAAACAGCCGCUAUCCAGCCCCUCCAGGUUGACUCAAGUCAGAGUGUGUGGGGGCCAGUCAUGGAACAGAGGGAGCCUCCUGCCCAGGGCAAGCGUGGGGAGACCACCAGGGGCCCCAGACAGGUGAGCCGCUCCAGCAGGGACAGCACAGGUGGUGCAUGGUCGGGGCUGGACAUCGGGGUUAGUCGGCAAGGAUGAGGAGUCUCUGGGGAUGGAGGCUGAGGCUUGGGGUUCUCAGGCAAGGGCAGGCCUAGGUGCAGCAGAGAAUUGUUUGGAGGGAGGAAAUCAAGCUUUCCUUCUAGAAAGGGUGACAGGGACCAAAGGGAGAGGGCAGGGACAGCCCCUGGAAAGGGCAGGUGAGGAAGGUGAGGCUGGAGGGGACCCAAGAAGGGAUCCUGGGGAGGUAGUGGCCAAGAGCAGGGUGAGGGCCAGGCCGCACCUUUCGCUGUACCCAGCUCUCCCUGGGGUGGCCCUGGCCCUGCUCUGCUGUCCCCUGCAGGACAGGUGCCUCAGGCUUGUCCCAGCUUGUCCUACAGCAGGUCCUCAGCACCCACAGGUCCUGCCUUGGGCUCUGCAGAAGCAGGGAGUGGUGAGGUCAGGACCCUGGGCCACAGAAGAAAUGGUCUGGGGGACAAGGACGGGGGUUGGGGGACUGACAGCUGUUUUCUGAAGGCCCGGGGAGUGGAGGAGAGGGGUGAGGGGCCAAGGCUUGGGGCUCAGUAUGGGGGCAGCUGCAGGGGGUGAGGGGGCCAGUGGGGCCAGUGAAGAGGGCCUAGGGUCUGGUAUCUGCAGCAGGCACUCACAGAGGACAGACUGUUUGCAAGGUAGGUCAGGUGACAGGGAGCCAGGGGGGCUGAGGAGGCUCAGGGCCUGACUCCAGGGAGAGCAGUUGCCAUCCCCCAGGUCCAGAGGGGCCCUGGGAGGAGUCCAGGCAGGGCUGAAGCUGGAAGAAGUAAGAGGGGCUGGCACUCAAGGACUGCAGCCACUGGCCAGGUGGGGCCAGGUCGGACCGGCUGCCUUCCCUGGUCUCAGCCCCAGCCUUCUGUGGCUGCCUCCCCCAUCGGAGCCAUCAGAGAGCAGGAUGUGGGAGGGGCAGGUGAAGGACAGCCUCUGUGAUAGUCCCUGGUGUGCUGCAGCCUGGGGUGAGGGGCCUUGGGGAUGGGAAGGGCUGGGAGCUGGGAGACGAUGGCUCCCAGCACUUGGUCCUGAGGGGCCUUGGAGCAGCUUCCCCCAGGCCUGCAGAGGCAACUUCUGACACUCGGGGAGCUGAGGCCAAGGGAAGGCUCCCCAGACACAAGGAGAAGGGGCUGGGGGCAGCCAGAAGGCUUUGGGCUACCCUCCCUGGAGGCUCAGGUCCCAGGUGACCCCUCCAGCUGUGUUCCUUCCAAGAUUGGGACCUGCAAAGAUUGCAGAUGUGAGGAAAGGAAGGUGUCUUGGGCAUUCUUCCCAGUGUGGCUGAGCUGUGCCUGUGAGGACAUGCAGACACUCAGAGGACCUGUCCUCAGGGGCCCCAGGGUGAAGGUCAAGAUCUCACCUUACAACCAGCCGGGCCCUGACUACUUCCAGCCACCAGGCCCCCAGGACAGGAGCAGGACAGUGGUUAUUUCCCCAGUGGACGGGGGGCUCCAGGUCACAUAAGAAUAACAUGCCCUGUGACAAGGCGUGGGGAUGAAAAUGCUUCCCCCUGGGCUGAGAUUCCAGGACACCUGAGAUGGGGGGACCCCGGCCACAUGUUUAGAGCUCUCAGGGAACCUGGAGGGCCCCUCAGCCUCUGUUCCCCUACUGGGGAGAACAGAGGCCUGGUGGUAGCAAUUUCAGGGAACUCAGAGAAACACUGUUCCCCAGACCUUGGAGCUCCCUCUGUGCCUGGCUCUCACUGUGAGGCCCCCCACCAGCUGGUCCUGCUCAGGGAGCCUCCACGUGUCCCCCUGGUUCCUCCGGCCAGCCUAGGGGUGGAGGGUGCGGUCCCCAUGGCCUGUAGGAAGUAGGGCUCAGAGGGGCAAAGUCACCGCCCUGAGGUCACCAGGAGGUCCCGGCAGAGGGGGUUGGGGCCUGGCUCAGGGCCUGUUCUCCCUGCUGAGCUCAGUGGGAUGGGGCCAUCUCAAGGGUCCCACUGUUUUUCUCUGGUCUCUGCCCCAGCAUGUGGUGGGACCUUGAUUUCCAUACUCUCAUGUCACCAGUCUGUUGGGGGGCAGAGGUUAUGGGGUCACUGAUAUCACCUGGCUCAUUCCUCCCCCAUCCAGGCUGUCCCAUGAGAAUGUCUAAUCUGUAUGUCAUCGGAGUCAAUAAUGUGUUUUGCUAUCGCUCUGGUUCCAGGGAUAUUGCUCAGCCAAAGGGCCAGCAUCCCAGUGAAGAAGAUCAGAAAGAGGCUUCCGAUUCCGUCUCUAGAGCCUUUGAGGUCACUCCUGACGCUGACAUGGCUGUGAAGAGCUGGGUGCCAGGCAUUACUGCCUCCAAGGUUGCUUUGCGAGGAAUAGGUGGGGCAUCAGGAAGAAGCCAGUUGCAGGCAAGGCCUCUGCUGAUGCUGCUUUUUUCUCCUGUACCCAUCCAUGGGAGGGAGCUGUGAGAUGGCCUGGCAGAACCCGCUCUUGGACCCCACAGAAUGAGAGGCUCACCCUGCACAGGAACAUCCUGGGGCAGCAGGCUCAGCACAUUUUAAAUUUUGAGUAUGAACAAAGUAAACUUCAGGGUUAAAAAAAAACACAAA